GACGAACGCUGGCGGCGUGCUUAACACAUGCAAGUCGAACGGAGCCUAUCGAAUGAAGUUUUCGGACAGAUUUUGAGACAGCUUAGUGGCGGACGGGUGAGUAACGCGUGAGGAACCUGCCUUUCAGAGGGGGACAACAGUUGGAAACGACUGCUAAUACCGCAUAAUGCAGAUUUGUGGCAUCACAAAGCUGCCAAAGAUUUAUCGCUGAAAGAUGGCCUCGCGUCUGAUUAGAUAGUUGGUGAGGUAACGGCUCACCAAGUCGACGAUCAGUAGCCGGACUGAGAGGUUGAACGGCCACAUUGGGACUGAGACACAGCCCAA
RNAcentral lists this ribosomal RNA (324 nucleotides) under uncultured bacterium. Its description in RNAcentral is "bacterial SSU rRNA". It matches the Rfam family "Bacterial small subunit ribosomal RNA", at positions 28 to 334 of the family's 1533-position model. The record is from RNAcentral.